AUGUAAUUGAAUUAAUUUUUAUAUGUAUAUAUAGGGGAUGGAUGUUGUUUAAGUUAGAAACUAUGUAUAUAACAAUUGAAUACAGAAAGAACAAAAAUAAAAUUAAAAGUAUGAUACGGAGGAAAGAGGAACAGGUCUAUAUAGUGUAAAAUUAAAAGUAUGAUACAGAACAAAAAGUUGUAACUUGUAUGGUUAUAAACAGGUCUAUAGAGUGUACUUUGAAGAACACAGAGGAAAGAAAACAUUUAAUGAGAUUGAAGAAACUCACCAUUCUUAUCUGUUCUUUAUGAAAGAAUCCGAGGAAGAAACUAAGUCUUCUCUUCUUUACAAUUACAAGAACAGUAUCAAUGGCUUCACAGCAGUGCUCACUCGCCAUGAAGCAUCAAAACUAUCUGAAUAGGAGGAAAUGGUGUCUGUGUUUUGAAGUAAGCCAGGAAAGUACUCUUUGCAGACUAUAAGAUCAUGGGAAUUUGUAGGUUUAGAAGAGGGAGAGAAGUCAAACAAAUUGAAGAAAGAUGACUUCUGGUUCAAAGCCAGAUAUGGCAAAGAAGUCAUUGUUGGCCUCUUGGAUAGUGGGCACUCUAGUGAAUAUCAUUGUAGGUUCUCAUGUUUGGGUUGAAGAUCCAGAUGAAGCUUGGGUUGAUGGACAAGUGUCAAAUAUUAACGAAUAGGAAGUUGAGAUCCAUACCCGUAAUGAGAAGACGGCAAAAAUAUUACAUCAACUGGACAUUAGUUAUUGCAUCAAGUGAUGCAUUUUUGGAAACUGAAGUUCAUAGUUCUGCCUGCAUAACCUAGUUCCAAAAAAUUUUUUGCUGAUCAAAUUUUAGACUUUAAUUUUAUCAAAUUUUUUUUUAAGUUUGGGAAUUUCUGUUUUGAUUGGAAAUUUGAGAAAACAAGUCUAAACUAACUGGUGGUCCUGCAGCUUUGCUUGAAUUCAAUGCUCCUCCAUAACAUAUGUAAUCAAAUCAUGUAUGUUGCUUUAUUUUUGUUACCGGUGGAAAAUGUUUCUUCAUAUUAGGAGGUGUAAUUCAGGUGCGAAGAGGAUUUUUAUGUCCUAAUCUGAUAUUAUCAUUAGUUUAUAUCAUUAGUUAUUUAAUGUUCAUGUUGGUGAGAGAAAGCAAUGAAUUAAUGCAGCUAUGGGCGACUCUGUCAUAAUAUUAUCUCCUAAUCUGACAUUAUCACAGACUUAUUCUGGAAUUAUUCUUAUCGCCAUUAAUCCAUUCCAAAGACUUCCUCAUAUGUAUGAUGAUCACAUGAGGGAUGAUUUAACUCUAGCAACAAGUUCUAGAAGUAAGAUGCAUGAUCUAACUCUAGUUUCAUGCUUUAUUAUUGUUUAACUCGUCAAUUGGGCUAGUGCUGGUAAGGAUCAUGUAAAGUUCUUGAGGCUACCGUUUGAAGUGCGAAUUCUGCAACAGGGGCUAUAUAUCCAAGACAGAUACAUAGAAUUGAUGCCAUGUUAUGGCCAUCUUCAAAAUAGGUGUGAUGGUACUCUGAAUGUGGACACCAAAUGCAACACAAAAUAUUAUCAAUGUCCUUUGUAUUGACAUCAUGCUUCCGUUGGAGGUGCACUUGUGAUUAUCAUGGCUUACAUACAUUUCUUACUUCAAAAUUAACGUCAAAUUAAUAGAAUUUAGAGUUGUAUUAUUCAUUUUGUUUUUGUCCACAUUUCAAUUAGCAUUUUUGAUAGAUGGACUUACAUUAGUAAAAGGAGAAAACAUAUGUACAAGGAGCCAUAUUGCCAUAAUGCCAUCCGUGUGAGCUAGAGGGUCAAUCAACAUCAUAGCCUAAGCCUAUAGCAAAAUAAUGAGAUCCAAGCUCUACAAGAGAUAAAUAAAUGAACACUUCUAAAAUAAGUAUUAUUUCAGGAACUGAUCUGGUCUUCACAUUGCCCUCGCUUAGAUUAUAUGAGGAAUUUGUCACAUUUCAGUCUGGACUGUUAUGUGGCUUUGAGAGGCCCUUUUCAAGAAAAUAUGACAUUGGAAAUUCUGUACCCCACAAAGCCAACGACUAAUGAACUUUCAUGAUGCAUUUCCUUUACUUUUUGCAAUCCUCUAUCUGCUAUUCUUCUUAAUAGAAAUUUCCUCAUAGUAUGAAAGGGGUAAUACAUAAGGAGAGAAUUGGCAAAUUCAGAAUCUUGCUUAUUAGGUGGAGGAUGUUGGAUGGAAUUAGUUUGUUUCCUCAACAUCAGACAUGCAUUGCGUGGAAUCUUUUAAUGUACUCGGAUUUCUUUCUGGAAAUAAUUCUGAAAGCAGAUGAUGCAGGAUGCAAACCUGCCAACUUGAGAUUUUGUGUUUCUGAAAUCGUCUUUAACUUCUUAAUAUUCAUAUGCAUGAUGUGAUUUACAGAAAAUUUAUGGUUUCUUUAUGGAUAUCUUUUGUGGAUUUGUAAUUGAUAUACUCGUCUAUCAAAUGCAGUCAAAUCUAGUUCUUGAAGCAUUUGGCAAUGCAAAAACUGUUCGAAAUAACAAUUCUAGCCGCUUUGGUAAAUUUGUUGAGCUUCAAUUUGAUAAGCAUGGAAAAAUUUCAGGAGCAACCAUUAGAACUUACCUUCUUGAGAGAUCUCGUGUUUGCCAAAUUUCAAACACAGAACACAACUAUCAUUGCUUUUACCUUCUUUGUGCAAUACCACUAGAGAUUGGCAAUGGUGGAAAAAAGUUCGUGCUGCAUCAGAAGAUUUGAUUUUUGUGUUUUUUGAAAUAUUUUGACAUAAGAUUUUGGUAAAUGAUUGAUGGAUUAAAUGUUUAGCAUCAAAAUAUUUGGUUUUGUAUUUUUGAAAAUAUUUUGACAUAGGAUUUGGUAAUGUAUUUAUGGGUUUGAUGUUAGUAGUUUGUAAGUACUUUGGAAUGUAUGUUUUAGAU
This is a non-coding RNA of Camellia sinensis, 2857 nucleotides long. The record is from RefSeq and is a predicted model, not a curated record. Lineage: Eukaryota; Viridiplantae; Streptophyta; Magnoliopsida; Ericales; Theaceae.